Molecule: ribosomal RNA, 496 nt
Filed under: uncultured bacterium
Lineage: Bacteria
Description: partial 16S ribosomal RNA
Rfam family: Bacterial small subunit ribosomal RNA
Source: RNAcentral
GAUGAACGCUGGCGGCGUGCCUAAUACAUGCAAGUCGAGCGAACAGACGAGGAGCUUGCUCCUCUGACGUUAGCGGCGGACGGGUGAGUAACACGUGGAUAACCUACCUAUAAGACUGGGAUAACUUCGGGAAACCGGAGCUAAUACCGGAUAAUAUAUUGAACCGCAUGGUUCAAUAGUGAAAGACGGUUUUGCUGUCACUUAUAGAUGGAUCCGCGCCGCAUUAGCUAGUUGGUAAGGUAACGGCUUACCAAGGCGACGAUGCGUAGCCGACCUGAGAGGGGGAUCGGCCACACGGGAACUGAGACACGGUCCAGACUCCUACGGGAGGCAGCAGUAGGGAAUCUUCCGCAAUGGGCGAAAGCCUGACGGAGCAACGCCGCGUGAGUGAUGAAGGUCUUCGGAUCGUAAAACUCUGUUAUUAGGGAAGAACAAAUGUGUAAGUAACUAUGCACGUCUUGACGGUACCUAAUCAGAAAGCCACGGCUAACUACGU